GAUGAACGCUGGCGGCGUGCCUAAUACAUGCAAGUCGAGCGAACAGACGAGGAGCUUGCUCCUCUGACGUUAGCGGCGGACGGGUGAGUAACACGUGGAUAACCUACCUAUAAGACUGGGAUAACUUCGGGAAACCGGAUCUAAUACCGGAUAAUAUAUUGAACCGCAUGGUUCAAUAGUGAAAGACGGUUUUGCUGUCACUUAUAGAUAGAUCCGCGCCGCAUUAGCUAGUUGGUAAGGUAACGGCUUACCAAGGCGACGAUGCGUAGCCGACCUGAGAGGGUGAUCGGACACACUGGAACUGAGACACGGUCCAGACUCCUACGGGAGGCAGCAGUAGGGAAUCCUCCGCAAUGGGCGAAAGCCUGACGGAGCAACGCCGCGUGAGUGAUGAAGGUCUUCGGAUCGUAAAACUCUGUUAUUAGGGAAGAACAAAUGUGUAAGUACCUAUGCACGUCUUGACGGUACCUAAUCAGAAAGCCACGGCUAACUACGUG
RNAcentral lists this ribosomal RNA (497 nucleotides) under uncultured bacterium. RNAcentral's name for it is "partial 16S ribosomal RNA". It matches the Rfam family "Bacterial small subunit ribosomal RNA", at positions 28 to 507 of the family's 1533-position model. The record is from RNAcentral.